RNAcentral lists this ribosomal RNA (461 nucleotides) under Stenasellus galhanoae. Its description in RNAcentral is "partial 16S ribosomal RNA". It matches the Rfam family "Archaeal large subunit ribosomal RNA", at positions 1948 to 2666 of the family's 2987-position model. Lineage: Eukaryota; Metazoa; Arthropoda; Malacostraca; Isopoda; Stenasellidae. The record is from RNAcentral.
UCUCUGCCCUAUGAUUGUUAAAUGGCCGCAGUACUCUGACUGUGCAAAGGUAGCAUAAUCAUUAGUUUUUUAAUUGAAAACUGGAAUGAAGGAGUUGACGAGGGGUAAACUUUUUAUUUUAUUUAUAAAUUUGACAUCGAUGUUAGAAGGCUUCGAUAGGCUAGGGGGACGACAAGACCCUGUGAAAUUUUACCUUUAUCUUUGAAUCUUUAAUUAGGAAUAGGGGUUAUACGGUAAGGUUAAGCUGGGGCGGUAUUUGUAUUGGCUACUAAAGAUAUAAUACUAAAAGUAAGAUCUUAGAACCUAUAGUUUAUAAGGUUGAUCAAAUUACUCCAGGGAUAACAGCACAAUCCUCUUGGAUAGUUCAUAUUGGUAAGAGGGCUUGUGACCUCGAUGUUGAAUUGGAAAUACCCGUUUGAGUAGAAGCAGGCGAGGUUAGUCUGUUCGACUAUUAAAUUUUC